Long non-coding RNA from Mauremys reevesii (Reeves's turtle), 555 nucleotides. RefSeq lists it as uncharacterized. The record is from RefSeq and is a predicted model, not a curated record. Lineage: Eukaryota; Metazoa; Chordata; Testudines; Geoemydidae. The transcript is spliced from 2 exons.
UCCUCCACACAGACCCACCCACCCCAUUAAAAGAUGAAGGGUGCAAUGUCACAUACUCAAAAAAGUUAGGAAAUACCAGAAUUAAGGUUCCCUAGCCAACCUUAAUUCGGCCUCCUUGCACAUGUGCAUUAUGGUAGUAUGUGUUCAUGUAAUUAAAGACUAUUUUUUCCACAGGAUAGAGUUGCUCUGGGAAUGAAUCAGAGUUGCAUAGUGAAUCUAAGAGCCCCUGCCUCAUUUGUUGCAGAAGUUGGAAGGAGUGUGAUGAAUAAGGUAGGGAUUGCAGGAAGAGAAAGGAAGUUGAAUGCUGCCCUGGAGCACUGGAUUUUAUCUCUGCCUCUGCUACAGAGUUCUAAUGUGAUGCUGGCAAGUCGUUUAAACCAAACUUUUCACACAUGGUUACUUACUGUGUGUUCUUCAGUAGCUUGGUGUUCAACCUGAAGUCUGAGAUACAGAAGAGCUGAGCACCCACAACUGCAACUGAAAUCAAUGUGAGCUGGGCUUUGAACAUAUUAUGAAUGGAUCAAAACUUGUGCAAGGACUGAAAAGCAAAUUAUG